This 253-nucleotide non-coding RNA is filed under the name Cicer arietinum (chickpea). RNAcentral describes it as "Bacterial small subunit ribosomal RNA". It matches the Rfam family "Bacterial small subunit ribosomal RNA", at positions 950 to 1212 of the family's 1533-position model. The record is from Rfam by way of RNAcentral. Lineage: Eukaryota; Viridiplantae; Streptophyta; Magnoliopsida; Fabales; Fabaceae.
UUUGCAAAGCGAAGAAUCUUACCAAGGCUUGACAUGUCGCGAAUCCUCUUGAAAGAGAGGGAUGCCUUCGGGAACGCGGACAGGUGGUGCAUGGCUGUCGUCAGCUCGUGCCGUAAGGUGUUGGGUUAAGUCCUGCAACGAGCGCAACCUUUGUGUUUAGUUGCCAACAUUGAGUUUGGAACCCUGAAUAGACUGUCGGCUUAUGUCGGUGAUAAGCCGGGGGACUAUAUAAAUUUGCACUCAAUUGAAUUGA